UACAGAGGGGGCAAGCGUUGUUCGGAAUUACUGGGCGUAAAGGGCGCGUAGGCGGCCUGCUAAGUCGAACGUGAAAUCCCUGGGCUCAACCCAGGAACUGCGUCCGAUACUGGUUGGCUUGAAUCCGGGAGAGGGAUGUGGAAUUCCAGGUGUAGCGGUGAAAUGCGUAGAUAUCUGGAGGAACACCGGUGGCGAAGGCGGCAUCCUGGACCGGCAUUGACGCUGAGGAGCGAAAGCCAGGGGAGCCGAACGGGG
RNAcentral lists this ribosomal RNA (255 nucleotides) under uncultured bacterium. RNAcentral describes it as "partial 16S ribosomal RNA". It matches the Rfam family "Bacterial small subunit ribosomal RNA", at positions 524 to 777 of the family's 1533-position model. The record is from RNAcentral.